RNAcentral lists this ribosomal RNA (296 nucleotides) under uncultured bacterium. RNAcentral's name for it is "partial 16S ribosomal RNA". It matches the Rfam family "Bacterial small subunit ribosomal RNA", at positions 1057 to 1352 of the family's 1533-position model. The record is from RNAcentral.
AGCUCGUGUCGUGAGAUGUCGGGUUAAGUCCCUUAACGAGCGAAACCCUUGUCCCUAGUUGCCAGCGAGUCAUGUCGGGGACUCUAGGGAGACUGCCGGUGUUAAACCGGAGGAAGGUGGGGAUGACGUCAAGUCCUCAUGGCCUUUAUGACCAGGGCUGCACACGUCCUACAAUGCGAUGCACAAAGGGACGCAAGCUCGCGAGAGUAAGCAAAUCCCAAAAAACAUCGCUCAGUUCAGAUUGCAGGCUGCAACUCGCCUGCAUGAAGCUGGAAUCGCUAGUAAUCGCGGGUCAG